CCUACGGGUGGCAGCAGUGAGGAAUAUUGGUCAAUGGACGAGAGUCUGAACCAGCCAAGUAGCGUGAAGGAUGACUGCCCUAUGGGUUGUAAACUUCUUUUAUAUGGGAAUAAAAUGUUCCACGUGUGGGAUUUUGUAUGUACCAUAUGAAUAAGGAUCGGCUAACUCCGUGCCAGCAGCCGCGGUAAUACGGAGGAUCCGAGCGUUAUCCGGAUUUAUUGGGUUUAAAGGGAGCGUAGGUGGAUUGUUAAGUCAGUUGUGAAAGUUUGCGGCUCAACCGUAAAAUUGCAGUUGAAACUGGCAGUCUUGAGUACAGUAGAGGUGUGCGGAAUUCGUGGUGUAGCGGUGAAAUGCUUAGAUAUCACGAAGAACUCAGAUUGCGAAGGCAGUUCACUGGACUGCAACUGACACUGAGGCUCGAAAGUGUGGGUAUCAAACAGGAUUAGAUACCCGGGUAGUC
RNAcentral lists this ribosomal RNA (460 nucleotides) under uncultured bacterium. RNAcentral describes it as "partial 16S ribosomal RNA". It matches the Rfam family "Bacterial small subunit ribosomal RNA", at positions 338 to 795 of the family's 1533-position model. The record is from RNAcentral.